CACAAUAAACAUAUGAAGGCUGCACCGCCAACAGGCGGCAAGGCUGGAGUAUUUUAUUACCCUUGUCUUUUGCGCACUUGUUGUUUCCUGGGCGGGUUUGCCCGCCUCCAGGACCACAUGAUAAACCUUUUUUAUGCAGUUGCAAUCAGCGUCAGUACAACAAAUGUAAAUCAUUUA
This 177-nucleotide unclassified non-coding RNA is filed under the name soil metagenome. RNAcentral describes it as "partial internal transcribed spacer 1". The record is from RNAcentral.